Molecule: non-coding RNA, 74 nt
Organism: Paramuricea clavata
Lineage: Eukaryota; Metazoa; Cnidaria; Anthozoa; Malacalcyonacea; Plexauridae
Source: the annotation of a GenBank genome assembly
GCCUCUGUAGCUCUGUGGUUAUAGAGCGCGGCACCGGAAUCGCAGCACCGCAGGUUCGAUUCCUGCCAGGGACU